Molecule: RNase P RNA, 403 nt
Filed under: Acidobacteriota bacterium
Lineage: Bacteria; Pseudomonadati; Acidobacteriota
Description: Acidobacteria bacterium RNase P RNA component class A
Rfam family: Bacterial RNase P class A
About the family: Ribonuclease P (RNase P) is a ubiquitous endoribonuclease, found in archaea, bacteria and eukarya as well as chloroplasts and mitochondria. Its best characterised activity is the generation of mature 5'-ends of tRNAs by cleaving the 5'-leader elements of precursor-tRNAs.
Source: RNAcentral
GCAGACGGCCGGACGACCGCUGCGCGCAGGCGCCCCGGCGCGUGCGCGGGGAGGAAAGUCCGAACUCCGGAGGGCAGUGCGCCGGGUAACGCCCGGUCAGGGUGACCUGAAGGAAAGUGGCACAGAAAACAUACCGCCCGCGGUGCCCGUACGGGCAUCGCGGGUAAGGGUGAAAAGGUGCGGUAAGAGCGCACCGCGCCCGCUGCAAGGCGGGUGGCAGGCUAAACCCCGCACGGAGCAAGACCAAAUAGGGGGGCGCUUGAGGGUGGUCCGCCCGAAGCUCCCGGGUAGGUCGCUGGACCCCGCCGGUGACGGCGGGGCUAGAGGAAUGGUCGUCACCGGCGCGUCCGCGAGCAAUCGCGGCGCGGCGGCACAGAAUUCGGCUUAUGGCCGCGCUGCGGCG